AAUCCUAAACUCAAAGUUUUGUCUUUUUUCUUCAUCGUGUUUUUCACCUUCAGAUUCUCUUCAAUCUAAAUACAUAGCUACCACCUUAGAAAAGCAUAAAAGUCAUAGCUACCGCCAUGGGCAAGGAGGAGGUGUCAGUGGCCUUGAAAAAUAAGUUUCAAAAUCGAUGAUUCCCCAAAGCUAUGAAGUAGGAGCUGGAACCUAGAAUCAAGAACUGGGACUUUAGAUAUCUGGGGGUGGCUAGUGUAGUACCUAUAUGGUUCCUUGAGUUGCUAGAUACGUAAAUAAACAAAGGGGGGAGAGAGAGAGUUUUGGUGUCUUAGAAGUGGAGGAGUAAGAAGUCAGGUGACGAAUAAAUAAGUUUGACGUUAUUUUCCUACAAUGAUGUUUUUAAUAAGGUGAUAUACAUAUGUGUUAUUGAUCAUGCUUGGGUUCCUAGAUAAGAACUUGGAAUAUAGUUGAUCUUUU
Long non-coding RNA from Rosa rugosa (rugosa rose), 468 nucleotides. RefSeq lists it as uncharacterized. The record is from RefSeq and is a predicted model, not a curated record. Lineage: Eukaryota; Viridiplantae; Streptophyta; Magnoliopsida; Rosales; Rosaceae. The transcript is spliced from 3 exons.